Molecule: long non-coding RNA, 1018 nt
Filed under: Homo sapiens (human)
Lineage: Eukaryota; Metazoa; Chordata; Mammalia; Primates; Hominidae
Description: HSALNT0324916
Source: RNAcentral
CAGCAAGAUGAUGAUGUAAGUAAUGGUUAUUUAAAUCAAAUCUCAAAAUACUGGAAUUAUGUCAUCCUUGAAGAAGACAAGAGGAGAUCUGGGGGUUCCAAGAGGAAGUGCCCCUUCACCUGCAAGAUGGUCACCUUAGAGAAAUCUCAGUGCCUGGGGUGGGUAUGAACUGAAAACUCCUAGCCAAGAAGGACGGAAGACCUUGGUAUUAGGAAGGUUUAGAUUAGGAAGGUUUAGAUUUUGAGAUUUUUAGAUUUUGAGAUGACAUCCAAGCAUGCAAGCAAAAAAAGUCUCUUUUGCUUUUAUCUAAGUCAUACCAUGAAGCUGGCCAGGGUGAUUCUCUGACUCCUGGAAUGGCAGACCUGAUCGUCUGCCCUUCCCACGUCUUCGCCGAUCAGUCCCCACUUUCCAGCCUGCACAAGUGCCUUGGAGCCCUACCCUUUGGAUGCAGCCAAAGCCAUUCCUAGCAGCCCUUGAGGGUUCUAACAACACAACUGUGGAGUCAGAGUCCUGUCUCCUGGGAUCCCAAGGCUUCAUCCAGGGACAGCUACAUGUAAAUCAGGAAGAGAAAUCUGCUGUGGAAAAGGUCUCCAUUGACCAACUGCUCCUCUGGUCUCUGCCUGUCCAGCAGACAAGUGCACUGCAGUAAUGAAAUCCACGACUUCCCACCUCUGCCAGUGAAGAGUCAGCAUGUACCGUGUGAAAGCCAGGAAGGCUCAUCUGUCUCGUGAGUGAUUUCCUUUCCUAAGGAAGGCCCUCCAAGGAGCCAUGCAUCUCUGGAACGGAUCACCCAUGCUGACAGAACUGAAGAUUGAACCUCUAACUAACAUGACUUGUGCAGGUGACAGGGAAAUUGUUUGUAAUAUAACUUCAUUUCUUUAAAAGCAGCUACGGAUUUAUACUUGGGUGAAAUUAUAUCCCACAUACUAAUUUAAUAAACUCCUCUAAGCUUACACAGAGUCUCUUCUUGGAAAAGGAUGUGUUUCUGAUCCACUGGCCAGUGCACUGAAUGAUUUCC